GGACCCUAAGUUCACAUACGAGGUAGUCGUAGUUGACGAUCUCAUAUACCCGCAGCACUGACCACACCCUUUUGGGCGUGGCCACAGGGUGUUUUCAGUUCUCGAGGAGAGACGAUCCUCAUGGCUGAUGCUGAUGGAGCCACGAAGUUUCCAGAUGUUGAAAAACUAGAAAAGGGGCUGAGCGCUCUUCAGCCAUGGCCUGAUCAGAUGGCCAUUGCUUGUGGGUCUCGAGUUCAUUUGGAGAAAGAAUCCAUUGCUCAGGACACCCCUUCUGCCAUCUCUCCCAAGGGUCAAGUUAUGCUGGAAGAAAGACAAAGGGUGAUCUGGAGAUGUAGAUCACUGUCACAGUCCCUCCAGAACUGAAGAAUGAAAAGGAGAAGACGGGAUCACUGGUUCUGUUUAGGCUCAUCCUAAUUCAGAGCAGUGGGGGGGGGGGGGAGGAGCAGACUCAAGAGGAGUGUCUGCCUUGACCCACACUGCUUACUUUUCCCCCUCUCUCCAUGUUCCUAAUAUUUUUUUCUGGUAAUCAGCAAGGGGAUCCUUUGGUAAGGUGAGAGCUGUGCAGGCCAGGAGAAGGCACCCAUAGCUACAGGACCUUGCUUUUUCCUUGGGCAGAGAUGAAGUGCCCUGUUGGGAGAGGACAUCCUGCCCUGCCAAGGGUAUUGUCCUAGAGCCUAUAAGAUACUUCAGAGGGGUUGUGUAAGUCCCUGAUGAUCCUGUCAGUAAUAAGUGGGCAUGAGAAAGUAGAGGGACUAUGCCUCCCUGAGGUCAGCUCAUCCCAAGCACAGGUUUGUGGGAGAAGCCAGGGUCUCCUGGUAAGCAGUCUGGUGAGCAUCUUCCAGAGAGCUUCUGAGAAUCUAUGAGAGUACUAAGAGCAGAGAUGACUUCAUGGAACAGCCUGGGGGAACUGAGACAUAGGCUGGCCUACUCGGUACAGUCUUCUCCUGGUUUUAAGUACUGGUUUUACCCUCCCCAAUGAAAUGGAUAGACAUCCUAACGCUAGGAAAUAGUGAAGAAAGGAACUGUCUGUCUCCUUUGGGAAGGAAACAUUUUGACAUAGAGUCAAUGGAUAUCACAGGCUGGUCUGAAACUCAGUUAUCCUCCUGCUUCCGCUUACAAAAUACUGAGAUCAAAGAUGUGGUCCGCCAUAAUGGGCAUUUAUAUUUGUUUAUUUGCACUGUUUAAAGACAGGGUCUUGAUAUGUAGACAAAGCUGCCCUGAAACUCAAAAUCUUGUUGACUUCGUAUCCAAAGCACUGGAAUUAUAGGUGUACACCAAUGUGCACAGUUGAGUCCUGAUCUCUUUCGUAAACCUCUGAUGGGUUUUUCAAAGCCCUCAGCUUUGAGUUCGGAAGACAGUUCUAAUGGAAAAAGCACUUGCUGCCAAACUUGUUGACCUCAGUUCGAUUCCCUGAGUUCAUGUGAAAGACCCCGGCCCAGCGCAAGCAGCUGAGGCUUAUGGAAAACUCCUUUCCCCCACAGCUCAGCCAUUUUUUAU
Long non-coding RNA from Mesocricetus auratus (golden hamster), 1497 nucleotides. RefSeq lists it as uncharacterized. Lineage: Eukaryota; Metazoa; Chordata; Mammalia; Rodentia; Cricetidae. The record is from RefSeq and is a predicted model, not a curated record. The transcript has 4 exons.